Molecule: ribosomal RNA, 253 nt
Filed under: uncultured bacterium
Lineage: Bacteria
Description: partial 16S ribosomal RNA
Rfam family: Bacterial small subunit ribosomal RNA
Source: RNAcentral
GACAGAGGUGCCAAGCGUUAGGCGGAAUCACUGGGCUUAAAGCGUGUGUAGGCGGAUCGUUAAGUACCUUGUGAAAUCCCACGGCUUAACCGUGGAACUGCUGGGUAUACUGGCGGUCUUGAGCCACCUAGGGGCAGCUGGAACAAACGGUGGAGCGGUGAAAUGCGUAGAUAUCGUUUGGAACGCCAACGGUGAAAACAGGCUGCUGGGGGUGUGCUGAAGCUGAGAAAAGAAAGCCAGGGGAGCGAACGGG